UGUCUGUCAUCACCACUAAGAAAACAGCUGAAACUCCACAUGGGACAAGAACAGCGUUCAAUAGGGAACAUUCUCUUCAGCAACCAGAAAAUUGCAAAGUCUACACAAACUGAUGUGGUCCUGGGCUGCAUAGGAAAGCAGGCUGAGCAAGACAUAGAGAGGAAGACAACAAGUACCACUCCAUGGCCUACUUCAGUUCCUGCUUUGAAUUACUGCCUUGACUUCUCAAGAUAAUGGACUACAAAUGGAUAUGGGAGGCUUGAGCAAAUACUAUGAAUCUCUCAAGGAGCUAUGGAUUACCUUAAAAGGCUAGACAACAGAGCCACGGCACAGGAAGUCUGCCCUGGAUGCUAUCCUGCUGGGAAUUGGCCCUCUGAAACAGAUCCAUCCACCCGAUGAGUCAUGACAUUAAAAAUGAUGAAGGAAAUGGACUGGUCCCCAGACAAACAGCUCGGGGCAAUACGAUUCCUGCAUCCAAAGGACUAUGGGUUACAGACACCUCUCUCUUCUGGGAUACAACGUGUAAAAGCCGGAUUGAGAUCUCUAUGCCUGUUCUUCAACUGCUGUGGCUACCACUAUUCCAAGAGACAGAAUAAGAAAGUUAAAGACAACAAGAAAUGGGUCUGUAAGGCCCGAAGUGAGUGGUGUGGCAAACGACUGGACUCACUCACAUGAAUAUAAGGCUAAUCCAUUCAGGAACAGACUAAGUCUCGUCCUGACCUACUUGUCGUUUUUCUGUAAAGACCACUCGAGGUUUUAUCAACUUGAUCAACAGGUUUCCUUGUGAUUCAAGGGCCCAUGGCAUGUCUCUGGAUAAGCAGAUUGCCAUGGAUCGAGGUACUCGGCCCUGAGUGGAGAGAGUGAGGGAAUGAAGAACAGACAAACAGACAAACAGGCAGGCACAAGGAAAGCUGGGAUCAGAGAGAAGCUUGUUAAAAGACAGGAUGCUGAAAGAGGAGAUGAAACAUUUCAACCUGAAGGGAAGUGCUUUAAGAUGCAGGAUGUAAAACAAUGAAAUGCUGGAAGAAGAGCUCAAACACUCCAUUCUUUAAAAAGGCUUCUUAAACUCAGGAAAUAAACAACUGAAUAACUUCAGAAA
This 1099-nucleotide long non-coding RNA is filed under the name Mus musculus (house mouse). Its description in RNAcentral is "RIKEN cDNA 1500015L24 gene". Lineage: Eukaryota; Metazoa; Chordata; Mammalia; Rodentia; Muridae. The record is from RNAcentral.